CCCAGACUCCUACGGGAGGCAGCAGUGGGGAAUAUUGCACAAUGGGGGGAACCCUGAUGCAGCGACGCCGCGUGGGUGAAGGAGCACCUCGGUGCGUAAAGCCCUAUCGGCAGGGAAGAAACAGACGGUACCUGACUAAGAAGCCCCGGCUAACUACGUGCCAGCAGCCGCGGUAAUACGUAGGGGGCAAGCGUUAUCCGGAUUCACUGGGUGUAAAGGGAGCGUAGACGGCGACGCAAGUCUGGAGUGAAAGCCCGGGGCCCAACCCCGGGACUGCUCUGGAAACUGCGGCGCUGGAGUGCGGGAGGGGCAGGCGGAAUUCCUGGUGUAGCGGUGAAAUGCGUAGAUAUCAGGAGGAACACCGGCGGCGAAGGCGGCCUGCUGGACCGUGACUGACGUUGAGGCUCGAGAGCGUGGGGAGCAAACAGGAUUAGAUACCCGGGUAC
This 446-nucleotide ribosomal RNA is filed under the name uncultured bacterium. RNAcentral's name for it is "bacterial SSU rRNA". It matches the Rfam family "Bacterial small subunit ribosomal RNA", at positions 330 to 793 of the family's 1533-position model. The record is from RNAcentral.